GAGGGUAUAGCUCAGUGGUAGAGCACAUGCUUAGCAUGCACCAGGUCCUGGGUUCAAUCCCGAGUACCUCCA
Molecule: transfer RNA, 72 nt
Filed under: Camelus bactrianus (Bactrian camel)
Lineage: Eukaryota; Metazoa; Chordata; Mammalia; Artiodactyla; Camelidae
Also listed under: 2 other names
Rfam family: tRNA
About the family: Transfer RNA (tRNA) molecules are approximately 80 nucleotides in length. Their secondary structure includes four short double-helical elements and three loops (D, anti-codon, and T loops).
Source: Rfam by way of RNAcentral